UGCCAGCAGCCGCGGUCAUACCGGCAGCACGAGUGAUGGCCGAUUUUAUUGGGCCUAAAGCGUCCGUAGCCGGCCAGACAAGUCCGUUGGGAAAUCCACGCGCUCAACGCGUGGGCGUCCAGCGGAAACUAUCUGGCUUGGGGCCGGAAGACUCGAGGGGUACGUCCGGGGUAGGAGUGAAAUCCCGUAAUCCUGGACGGACCACCGGUGGCGAAAGCGCCUCGAGAAGACGGACCCGACGGUGAGGGACGAAAGCCAGGGUCUCGAACCGGAUUAGAAACCCUAGUAGUCC
Molecule: ribosomal RNA, 292 nt
Filed under: uncultured bacterium
Lineage: Bacteria
Description: partial 16S ribosomal RNA
Rfam family: Archaeal small subunit ribosomal RNA
Source: RNAcentral